UUGCACAAUCUACAUUGGACCUUAGUUUGACAGGACAGGUCUCUUGUACAUUUGUGCAGGUA
Molecule: microRNA precursor, 62 nt
Filed under: Brachionus plicatilis
Lineage: Eukaryota; Metazoa; Rotifera; Eurotatoria; Ploima; Brachionidae
Description: Bpl-Mir-12597_pre stem-loop
Source: RNAcentral